This is a non-coding RNA of Danio rerio (zebrafish), 72 nucleotides long. The record is from Rfam. Lineage: Eukaryota; Metazoa; Chordata; Actinopteri; Cypriniformes; Danionidae.
UCCCUGGUGGUCUAGUGGUUAGGAUUAGGCGCUCUCACUGCCGCGGCCCGGGUUCGAUUCCCGGUCAGGGAA